Molecule: ribosomal RNA, 365 nt
Filed under: uncultured eukaryote
Lineage: Eukaryota
Description: partial 18S ribosomal RNA
Rfam family: Eukaryotic small subunit ribosomal RNA
Source: RNAcentral
CAAUAGCGUAUAUUUAAGUUGUUGCAGUUAAAAAGCUCGUAGUCGGAUUUUGGCUGAGAACGAUCGGUCCGCCGUUAGGUGUGCACUGAUUGGUCUCAGCUUCCUGGUGAGGAGGUGUACUUCACGGCCACUUAGUCACCGUGGUUACUUUGAAAAAAUUAGAGUGUUCAAAGCGGGCUUACGCUUGAAUAUAUUAGCAUGGAAUAACACCAUAGGACUCCUGUCCUAUUUCGUUGGUCUCGGGACGGGAGUAAUGAUUAAGAGGAACAGUUGGGGGCAUUCGUAUUUCAUUGUCAGAGGUGAAAUUCUUGGAUUUAUGAAAGACGAACUUCUGCGAAAGCAUUUGCCAAGGAUGUUUUCAUUGA